ACAGGGAUUGCCCUAGUAACGGCGAGUGAAGCGGCAACAGCUCAAAUUUGAAAUCUGGCUCUUUCAGAGUCCGAGUUGUAAUUUGCAGAGGGCGCUUUGGCUUUGGCAGCGGUCCAAGUUCCUUGGAACAGGACGUCACAGAGGGUGAGAAUCCCGUACGUGGUCGCUAGCUAUUGCCGUGUAAAGCCCCUUCGACGAGUCGAGUUGUUUGGGAAUGCAGCUCUAAAUGGGAGGUAAAUUUCUUCUAAAGCUAAAUAUUGGCCAGAGACCGAUAGCGCACAAGUAGAGUGAUCGAAAGAUGAAAAGCACUUUGGAAAGAGAGUCAAACAGCACGUGAAAUUGUUGAAAGGGAAGCGCUUGCAGCCAGACUUGCUUGCAGUUGCUCAUCCGGGCUUUUGCCCGGUGCACUCUUCUGUAGGCAGGCCAGCAUCAGUUUGGGCGGUGGGAUAAAGGUCUCUGUCACGUACCUCUCUUCGGGGAGGCCUUAUAGGGGAGACGACAUACCACCAGCCUAGACUGAGGUCCGCGCAUCUGCUAGGAUGCUGGCGUAAUGGCUGUAAGCGGCCCGUCUUGAAACACGGACCAAGGAGUCUAACAUCUAUGCGAGUGUUUGGGUGUCAAGCCCGAGCGCGUAAUGAAAGUGAACGGAGGUGGGAACCCGCAAGGGUGCACCAUCGACCGAUCCUGAAGUUUACGGAAGGAUUUGAGUAAGAGCAUGGCUGUUGGGACCCGAAAGAUGGUGAACUAUGCUUGAAUAGGGUGAAGCCAGAGGAAACUCUGGUGGAGGCUCGCAGCGGUUCUGACGUGCAAAUCGAUCGUCAAAUUUGGGCA
This 831-nucleotide ribosomal RNA is filed under the name Curvularia sp. MFLUCC 10-0690. RNAcentral describes it as "eukaryotic LSU rRNA". It matches the Rfam family "Eukaryotic large subunit ribosomal RNA", at positions 68 to 917 of the family's 3401-position model. Lineage: Eukaryota; Fungi; Ascomycota; Dothideomycetes; Pleosporales; Pleosporaceae. The record is from RNAcentral.